GACGAACGCUGGCGGCGUGCUUAACACAUGCAAGUCGAACGAAGAGCGAUGGAAGCUUGCUUCUAUCAAUCUUAGUGGCGAACGGGUGAGUAACGCGUAAUCAACCUGCCCUUCAGAGGGGGACAACAGUUGGAAACGACUGCUAAUACCGCAUACGAUCUAAUCUCGGCAUCGAGGAUAGAUGAAAGGUGGCCUCUACAUGUAAGCUAUCACUGAAGGAGGGGAUUGCGUCUGAUUAGCUAGUUGGAGGGGUAACGGCCCACCAAGGCGAUGAUCAGUAGCCGGUCUGAGAGGAUGAACGGCCACAUUGGGACUGAGACACGGCCCAGACUCCUACGGGAGGCAGCAGUGGGGAAUCUUCCGCAAUGGACGAAAGUCUGACGGAGCAACGCCGCGUGAGUGAGGACGGCCUUCGGGUUGUAAAGCUCUGUUAAUCGGGACGAAAGGCCUUCUUGCGAAUAGUGAGAAGGAUUGACGGUACCGGAAUAGAAAGCCACGGCUAACUACGUG
This 510-nucleotide ribosomal RNA is filed under the name uncultured bacterium. RNAcentral describes it as "partial 16S ribosomal RNA". It matches the Rfam family "Bacterial small subunit ribosomal RNA", at positions 28 to 507 of the family's 1533-position model. The record is from RNAcentral.